UAAUACGGGGGGGGCGAGCGUUGUUCGGAAUUACUGGGCGUAAAGGGCGCGUAGGCGGCCGGCUCAGUCAGACGUGAAAUCCCUCGGCUCAACCGGGGAACUGCGUCUGAUACUGGCUGGCUUGAAUCCGGGAGAGGGAAGUGGAAUUCCAGGUGUAGCGGUGAAAUGCGUAGAUAUCUGGAGGAACACCGGUGGCGAAGGCGGCUUCCUGGACCGGUAUUGACGCUGAGGCGCGAAAGCCAGGGGAGCAAACGGGAUUAGAUACCCCGGUAGUCCUGGCCCUAAACGAUGAAUGCUUGGUGCGGCGGGUAUCGAUCCCUGCCGUGCCGAAGCUAACGCAUUAAGCAUUCCGCCUGGGGAGUACGGUCGCAAGGCUG
Molecule: ribosomal RNA, 377 nt
Filed under: uncultured bacterium
Lineage: Bacteria
Description: bacterial SSU rRNA
Rfam family: Bacterial small subunit ribosomal RNA
Source: RNAcentral